Molecule: transfer RNA, 75 nt
Filed under: Holosporaceae bacterium
Lineage: Bacteria; Pseudomonadati; Pseudomonadota; Alphaproteobacteria; Holosporales; Holosporaceae
Description: tRNA-Gly
Rfam family: tRNA
About the family: Transfer RNA (tRNA) molecules are approximately 80 nucleotides in length. Their secondary structure includes four short double-helical elements and three loops (D, anti-codon, and T loops). Further hydrogen bonds mediate the characteristic L-shaped molecular structure. tRNAs have two regions of fundamental functional importance: the anti-codon, which is responsible for specific mRNA codon recognition, and the 3' end, to which the tRNAs corresponding amino acid is attached (by aminoacyl-tRNA synthetases). tRNAs cope with the degeneracy of the genetic code in two manners: having more than one tRNA (with a specific anti-codon) for a particular amino acid; and 'wobble' base-pairing, i.e. permitting non-standard base-pairing at the 3rd anti-codon position.
Source: RNAcentral
GCGGGUGUAGCUCAGCGGUAGAGUACAACCUUGCCAAGGUUGGUGUCGAGGGUUCGAUUCCCUUCGCCCGCUCCA